This is a long non-coding RNA of Cotesia glomerata, 1107 nucleotides long. RefSeq lists it as uncharacterized. The transcript has 4 exons. NCBI's taxonomy places the organism in Eukaryota, Metazoa, Arthropoda, Insecta, Hymenoptera, Braconidae. The record is from RefSeq and is a predicted model, not a curated record.
CGAAUGUGUUGGUGAUCAUGCGGCGUGCGAUCGAUCGACCAAUCGCAUCUAGGGGCUCGCUCUCUCCAGCCAAUCAGCGGCAGGUAGUCAGUUAGUGGCAGCGUGAUCAUCAGCGUGCUGUUCACGUGCUCUCUGUAUGACUGACUAUAACUGAGGUCGUGAUCGUGACGUCAGUCUGCGUGGUUGAGUGAUCGAUACGUCAUGGCAUUCAUGGCGCGCCCCAUACCUUAAUAUUAAUAUAAAUACGUACGGAUGAAUUUUUUAUUUGUAAUCAUCACCACUCGGUUGAGUAACCAAAACAAGAAGAGUACAACCAACCCUACUGAACUGUAUAAAUAUACUACUUACAUAUUUCGAUGACAUAAAUGAAAUGAUUUCGUCUCGAUCUUCAUACUAAAUAUCUGAUGAUGUCCAUGUUUAAUUUUAGAACAUGCUUUGUAUUUUGUAUCCUUAUUAUUAUAUUACGGAGCUUAAUGCUGCUUAGUAAAGAAUAUUAGGUCAUAUUUGUUGACGAGCCCCCGAAAUUCAUUUAUCAAAACGUCAAUAAUAUGUAUAGUAUAACAAAACAGAUAGCUAUAUGCAGUGUCAAUGCAGAUGAAGUACAGUUGGUAUUUUUUACUACAUCUCGGCGUGACGACAUAAUAAAUUUAUUCAACGGCUAUAGAUUAUAUUACAGUUUACAGAUAAUGAAUGUGGUAACGCAAGGUGCAUCUUAUUUCACGGCCUUGAAGGAUGAGGAUAAAGACUACGCGCCUCAUAGUCUCAGUAUACAAUGAAGUCGUUUGACGAGUUCGUUCACCCACUAUAUAUAUAUUAAUAUAUAUAUAUGGAUAUAAAAGUAACUUAACAUAAUCGUGGAUUAUUUAUUCAGCUUGCGACAAUAAUACUCUUCUGUGGUACAUGUUAUAUAGAGGGUGAAUAUAAAUUUGAUCAAUGAUUGUCAUCAGUUGUUAUGAUAGUUUCUAACAUGUAUUUAUACGCAUAUAAGCGGUAUUUUGUAUUUUUUUUUUUUUAUCAAUUAUCAUUUAAUAGUUUGGGAUUGGGUCAAGGUGAUACAAUUUAAAUGUUUUUAUUUAGAUUUAUUACUAUAUUAAGAAUUAAUUUGUU